GAUGAACGCUGGCGGCGUGCCUAAUACAUGCAAGUCGAACGAACAUAUAAGGAGCUUUCCCUUUUAACGAUAGCAGCUGACGGUUAAUUAACGACUGGUUAACCUACCUUUAAGACUGGGAUAACUUCGGGAAACCGACGCUAAUACCGGGUCAUAAUUCGAACCUGAUGUUUCCAUAUGGCAACAUGUGUUUAUUAUAGCUUAUUCAUGGACCCGCGCCGUAUUAUCUAGUUGGUAAGGUAACGGCUUAACAACGCGACGAUACUUCGCCGACAUGCGGGGGUGAUGGGCCACAAUGGAACUGAGGCACGGUCAAGACUCCUACGGGAGGCAGCAGUAGGGAAUCUUCCGCAAUGGACGAAAGCAUGACGGAGAAACGCCGCGAGAGUGAUGAAGGUAUGCGGAUCGAAAAACUCUGUUAUUAGGGAAGAAAAUACGUGUAAGUAACUGUGCACGUCGUGACGGUACCUAAUCAGAAAGCCACGGCUAACUACGUG
This 497-nucleotide ribosomal RNA is filed under the name uncultured bacterium. RNAcentral describes it as "partial 16S ribosomal RNA". It matches the Rfam family "Bacterial small subunit ribosomal RNA", at positions 28 to 507 of the family's 1533-position model. The record is from RNAcentral.